Long non-coding RNA from Solanum dulcamara, 804 nucleotides. RefSeq lists it as uncharacterized. The transcript is spliced from 2 exons. Lineage: Eukaryota; Viridiplantae; Streptophyta; Magnoliopsida; Solanales; Solanaceae. The record is from RefSeq and is a predicted model, not a curated record.
AAAUCCCUAACUUCUCCGUCUCUAGUACUCGACAAUCAACACUGACUUUUAUCAUCUCACCUCACGUAGUCAUUGGCUCUCAUUAAUCGUCGAUGUCUCAAAUUCACGAUGUAGCAUCGACACUAGACGGUUCAGUGUUCACAUUCUCAGGCCGCAGCUCACCUCUCGACACUCGACACUCGUCUCUAGUCUCUCAUAUCAGAGGUCAAAACUCAGAAGCAGAACUAAGACUGAGAGUCAGAGACCUCGCUGGCCAUUGUCUAACAUUCAACACUCGAGUCUUCAACAGUCGUCUCUCACACAAUCACUCAAUUACUCAGACACUCAAACGGUCAGACCAUCAUCAUUCCAAGUUCAACAAUUUGAGGUUGAGCUAUAGAAGUGCAUCACUGUUUUUUAUUUUCUAAGUUGCUGCAAAUUGCAAUGUUGCCUGCUGCUGGAACUAAAAGCUAUAGAAGUGCAAUUCUUAUUUCUUGGCUGUUGAAUGUUGAUGUUGAUUAUUGCCUACUGGAAGCACAAGCUACAGAAGGGAAAAAAUGUUUUGUUGUUUAAUGUUUUCUUAUCUAUAAAACAGAACAUAGAAGUAUCAAAUGCAUAAAUAUUUUAUUAUUUUUUGGUUUCUGCCUGCUGCUGGGGUUGUAGCCUGUAGGAGGGUUGUGUGUGCUGGAGCUUGUUGAAUUUUGUGUUGUUGUUGUUUUUAAAGUGUUAAUGGCUUAAUGUUGGACCUAUUUGUUUAGACAUUUGCAAACUGUAGUUAUAAACUUGUUAACAAUGCCAAUUUUCAUGGCUGAUUCGAGUUUCUAA